GCUUGUCUCAAAGAUUAAGCCAUGCAUGUCUAAGUAUAAAUAACUACACAGUAAAACUGCGAAUGGCUCAUUAAAACAGUUAUAGUUUAUUUGAUACAUUUUAAAUGGAUAACUGUAGAAACACUAGAGCUAAUACAUGCGCAAAUACCCAACUGCUUGUCGGACGGGUAGCAUUUAUUAGAUUGAAACCAAUGCAGUCUUCGGGCUGGUAUUGUGUUGAGUCAUAAUAACUGUGCGGAUCGCGUUUUACGCGAUAAAUCGAUUGAGUUUCUGCCCUAUCAGCUUUGGAUGGUAGGAUAUGGGCCUACCAUGGCAUUAACGGGUAACGGGGAAUUAGGGUUUGAUUCCGGAGAGGGAGCCUUAGAAACGGCUACCACAUCCAAGGAAGGCAGCAGG
RNAcentral lists this ribosomal RNA (396 nucleotides) under Salilagenidium thermophilum. RNAcentral describes it as "partial small subunit ribosomal RNA". It matches the Rfam family "Eukaryotic small subunit ribosomal RNA", at positions 30 to 432 of the family's 1831-position model. The record is from RNAcentral. Lineage: Eukaryota; Oomycota; Peronosporomycetes; Pythiales; Lagenidiaceae.